Molecule: ribosomal RNA, 684 nt
Filed under: bacterium xpnta388lb520onp10.8dc
Lineage: Bacteria
Description: bacterial SSU rRNA
Rfam family: Bacterial small subunit ribosomal RNA
Source: RNAcentral
ACACAUGCAGUCGAACGGUGAACACGGAGCUUGCUCUGUGGGAUCAGUGGCGAACGGGUGAGUAACACGUGAGCAACCUGCCCCUGACUCUGGGAUAAGCGCUGGAAACGGCGUCUAAUACUGGAUACGAACCACGAAGGCAUCUUCAGUGGUUGGAAAGAAUUUCGGUUGGGGAUGGGCUCGCGGCCUAUCAGCUUGUUGGUGAGGUAAUGGCUCACCAAGGCGUCGACGGGUAGCCGGCCUGAGAGGGUGACCGGCCACACUGGGACUGAGACACGGCCCAGACUCCUACGGGAGGCAGCAGUGGGGAAUAUUGCACAAUGGGCGCAAGCCUGAUGCAGCAACGCCGCGUGAGGGAUGACGGCCUUCGGGUUGUAAACCUCUUUUAGCAGGGAAGAAGCGAAAGUGACGGUACCUGCAGAAAAAGCGCCGGCUAACUACGUGCCAGCAGCCGCGGUAAUACGUAGGGCGCAAGCGUUAUCCGGAAUUAUUGGGCGUAAAGAGCUCGUAGGCGGUUUGUCGCGUCUGCUGUGAAAUCCGGAGGCUCAACCUCCGGCCUGCAGUGGGUACGGGCAGACUAGAGUGCGGUAGGGGAGAUUGGAAUUCCUGGUGUAGCGGUGGAAUGCGCAGAUAUCAGGAGGAACACCGAUGGCGAAGGCAGAUCUCUGGGCCGUAACUGACGCU